Nematolebias whitei (Rio pearlfish) is the source of this 356-nucleotide long non-coding RNA. RefSeq lists it as uncharacterized. The transcript is spliced from 3 exons. Lineage: Eukaryota; Metazoa; Chordata; Actinopteri; Cyprinodontiformes; Rivulidae. The record is from RefSeq and is a predicted model, not a curated record.
UUCACGACAACCGGAAACCGACACUUCCUGCUUUGCGAGUUUUUGCACUAAGGAGAAAUGUCUCUCUUUUCAACAUCUUUGCUUAAUUUGCCAAUCUUUUCUUUCGCUGCUGAGGAGGAAAUCGCAGCGGCGAAUUCUCGAACUAAUAAACGUGAAAGGAUAAAAGUUCUUCCAUGAAGAAAAUCUCCACAGCUGUCAAGACUGCCCACUACUCCCAACUCCAGCUGCCAACUGGUCCUCCUGUACUGGCCCGCACAAGAGAUUUACAAAGAAGGCACAGACAAAGAACACAGGGAAUCCAUCCUGAACCUGCCAGCGAGGUGGUGGUGGUGUGAAAGCUCAAAACUGGUGAAAAG